GUCCCACAAUCCACCAGUGAUAUCUAGCAAUAUGUAGUGACAACCCAGCAAAAUAAAAAUAUAAACUCUUAGGUGCAAUUAUCGUAUGAUUCAAUCCUUCUAUCAUGAAUCCUGACUUGACGAAGGUCAUGGAGAACUCGUCAAAUCCCAUCAUCAGUCAUAUGCAAGAUUGGCUCAACUCGAGUUCACUUGUGAAUUUCAUAGAAACUACUUUUUACUAUUCAUACUUGCUUUGGUCAAAGACUUUCUGAACUCAGUCUCACGAAUCGUAUAGGACUUCUCCUUUUUUAUCGAGAUCGAUAGAUUCCAUCUACGUGCAUCCUACUCCAAAUAGCGAACCUGAACCUACUGAAGUCAACAUAUACAGCAAUGACCCAAAUGGCUCAGGACCAAAGGAACGUACAGUCAAACUCAGUGGUCUUGUGCGAAUAGUCGAUGACACCGUAAGUCAAAGGACCACUCACACCACUGCAACAUCGGAAAGACCACUGACAAGUGAAUAGACAUCCAAGUGAUUUUUCAUAUUGGUC
RNAcentral lists this long non-coding RNA (530 nucleotides) under Elaeis guineensis (African oil palm). Its description in RNAcentral is "long non-coding RNA (EGUI_LNC053140)". Lineage: Eukaryota; Viridiplantae; Streptophyta; Magnoliopsida; Arecales; Arecaceae. The record is from RNAcentral.